RNAcentral lists this non-coding RNA (24 nucleotides) under Arabidopsis thaliana (thale cress). Lineage: Eukaryota; Viridiplantae; Streptophyta; Magnoliopsida; Brassicales; Brassicaceae. The record is from RNAcentral.
CGAGGAUACUGGUUAGUGGCUACA